ACUCCACUCACGAACUGUGGUCCUGUUGCAUUAACUUUCUCCUGGGUGCGACACUCUUCCCUGUUGGCUGCUGAUUAGAAAAGGAAAAAGACCAGGACUAAAUCUCUUACACUUAACAACAAUUUAAUACUUAGGAGGACUACCUUAGAAUAAUUCCUGAGGCAGAUUUAAAUAAUUUAAAACGUAUUUAAUUUUAAAGUAAACAAUUAAAGGUUAUAUGUCAUACUGCUUAUUUCAAAAUACCAUGAAUAAAACUCAGAAAGUUUUAUUAUUCUACAUGCAAAUUGUUACUGCUAGAAGAGCAUUCGUAAAGCCUUUAAAUUUGCCCCUUCUCCCUGAACAAAGGAACAGUAAAUUUUUACUCAAUAAAGUUAAAAAAAAGUUAAAGGAUACUGUGUUUUAAAUACAUUAUUAUUCAAACGUGAACAUUUAUUUUUACAAGAAAUGAGAAUUUAAAAUGUAUCCUAAUUUUGAAUUCAUAGGAAUUCUGCUUUAACUUGUUCCUGCUUGUGGUGCAUACUACAGAAUGAAAUUAACAGCUCUAAAUACUCUGAAGUCCAAAGAAGUUGUAUGUUGGGUGGGCUCCCUUCAACUUUAACAUGGAAGUGCUUUCUGUGACUUUAAAAGAUCUGGACUUACCUCAAUUGCUUUUGCUGCUUGUUCUUUUGUUUCAAAUUCCACAAACGCAAAUCCCUUUGGAUCUCCAGUAGACUUAUAAUGUGGUAUACUUAUAUAAACAACAUUGCCACAUUUCCCAAAUACUCUUUCAAUCCAGCUGUGAUUAACAUUUUUGGGAAGUAACUCCUAUUAUAAAUUAAAAGCAAUAUUAGAGUUUUUCACAAUCAGAAUGUCAAUAAAUUUUUAACUUAAUUAUAUUGUUUCUGUGCCAGUUUCUGACUGGGGACCCGGGUUCUUAAGCUUACCACAUACACUGUGCGUUCAUCCUCAUCCUUUGGUCUUUCCCCCAGAGGUUUUUUCCUCCGGAUUCUGGUGCCUUCCAAAUCAAGCUUUAAAAUAGUAUAUUACAUUAAUAAAACUAAUAUUAUUUAUAAUUGUAAGCUAUAAUCAUAUAAUAAUCAUUACGUUAACAUUCUUUAUAAUUAUAAACUAUAAAUAUAA
RNAcentral lists this long non-coding RNA (1119 nucleotides) under Homo sapiens (human). RNAcentral describes it as "HSALNT0321465". The record is from RNAcentral. Lineage: Eukaryota; Metazoa; Chordata; Mammalia; Primates; Hominidae.